This 598-nucleotide ribosomal RNA is filed under the name Penicillium sp. 16WV04. RNAcentral describes it as "eukaryotic LSU rRNA". The stretch from base 234 to 386 matches the Rfam family "5.8S ribosomal RNA". The record is from RNAcentral. Lineage: Eukaryota; Fungi; Ascomycota; Eurotiomycetes; Eurotiales; Aspergillaceae.
UAGAGGAAGUAAAAGUCGUAACAAGGUUUCCGUAGGUGAACCUGCGGAAGGAUCAUUACCGAGUGAGGGCCCUUUGGGUCCAACCUCCCACCCGUGUUUAUUUACCUUGUUGCUUCGGCGGGCCCGCCUUAACUGGCCGCCGGGGGGCUUACGCCCCCGGGCCCGCGCCCGCCGAAGACACCCUCGAACUCUGUCUGAAGAUUGUAGUCUGAGUGAAAAUAUAAAUUAUUUAAAACUUUCAACAACGGAUCUCUUGGUUCCGGCAUCGAUGAAGAACGCAGCGAAAUGCGAUACGUAAUGUGAAUUGCAAAUUCAGUGAAUCAUCGAGUCUUUGAACGCACAUUGCGCCCCCUGGUAUUCCGGGGGGCAUGCCUGUCCGAGCGUCAUUGCUGCCCUCAAGCCCGGCUUGUGUGUUGGGCCCCGUCCUCCGAUUCCGGGGGACGGGCCCGAAAGGCAGCGGCGGCACCGCGUCCGGUCCUCGAGCGUAUGGGGCUUUGUCACCCGCUCUGUAGGCCCGGCCGGCGCUUGCCGAUCAACCCAAAUUUUUAUCCAGGUUGACCUCGGAUCAGGUAGGGAUACCCGCUGAACUUAAGCAUAU